GUUCCCUUGCAGUGUCUAUCUCUCAUGUACAUACACAAUUUACAAAUAUUUUCUAUGUGACUACCUCUUGUUGAUUUCAUGGAUUUUUGUUGUGUGCUGACAAAACACUCUUGGAGUGAGUGAUGAUACAUGCAGAACCCUUUUUACAACCCUUUAUACAACCAUAUUUUAAAAUGAGGGUAUUUAUGUAAAAUGAUGUUACUUUUUAAAGUUAUUUUACUAAAAUGCUCCUCAUUUGAAACAUAGUUGUAGAAAGGGUUGUAAAAAGGGUUGUAUGUCUAUCAUUUUCUAGGGCGUAUAUGUUAAAUUUCUCAUUUAGUAAGAGCAAAUGCUGCCAGCUUUGAAGCCUGUUCUUCUAUUUCUUUCAGAGGCGCUUGCAAUGAGAUAAGGUAACAACAAUGCCCUUUCCUCUCUUCUUUGAUUUGAAAUCUUCUUCAAUCUGAGUCUUGCUUUCUGGGUAGAAAUCUCUCCAUUUGGAUUGUUGCUUUACUUUGCUGGUAUGCUAAUUUCAGGCCUUUUUUUUUCCCUUUUUGUGGAAAAUGAAGAAAAUAUCGAUUGCUUGUGAAUCUGGUGUUUUUUUUUUUUUGGUUAUUCUCUUUUCCGAACCAUUUUCUUGAAUUGGAUGAAAUGUCAAGAAGUGAAUUAGACGUGAUUUGAACAUAUGGAUGGAAUUUUUAUUGUCAUUGAAUUGACUUCCUUGAAAAUAUUAUUGCAUUGGUGGAUUGGAGCGUAUAAGGGUUCAAUAGGCAGGAACUAGAACACUUUCAUGUUGUUGAUUAGGGAUUUCCUUGUGGGUGGGAGUGAGAUAUUUGUGCUACAUUUUUAUGUAAUAAUGUAGAAACCCACUUUAACAACUUGAGCAUUAAAGGUAAGACAGUUUCUUGGUCAGUGUAUGCUUCGACUAUGCCAGAUACUCUGUUUCCUUAAUUGUACUUGUUACUUCCUUUAUUUGUUUAAAAAUUAUUAAAAUGUGUAGUUGUUCCAUCAGGUUUUUGAACUACAUAACAGGCAAGCGAAAUAUUAAAAAGAAGAUUAGAGAUACUUCAAUAAGGAAAAUUAUUUGGCUUUUUUUUUGCAACGGAAUAUGUUCUGCACAAGAAAUUAAUAUGCUCUUGUUUAAUCAAGAAAUAGUAUGUUUCAAUUGACAGUAUUUCCAUUAUUGGAUUUUUCUUGUGAAUAUAAUUAGAGAAAUUUGUAUCAACUCUGAUUCGAAUUCUGGAAUGCUAUGUGUGUUCUGUCAAAAGAAGCUUCUUGGGAAAUUCUUCUAACUGUUAUCAAACUCUGACUUCCAUGCUAAAAACCCCAAGGGGUUGGCCCAAGUGGUGAAGGCCUUGGUCUUGGGGUAUCACUUUCUUCAAGGUCCAAGGUUCAACUCCUCAUGGGAAACUUUCGAGGGUGUGGUGCACGGGAUCGGGGUUCACUCUGCAGGGAUGGGUCCGAAGGGCCCUGCCUUGGAGAGGUCCCCGACAUUAAAAAAAGAAAAAAAAAAAGUGUAGCAAAGCUUUAUGCUGUUAGUUUGCAGAUGUUCUUAAAUAGCUGCUCAUUCAAGUUCUGUCACUUUUUUUUUUUUUUUCCAUUUCGAUUUGUUUUGGUGAUAUGCAUUUUUCACAUCGUUGUUAAUGUCCUCUUUAAAAAGGUGAUUAGUGCAUGUUCUUGUUUGACGGUAGAAGCUUUGCUUAUGAGAUAUUUUUGAUCUGCAAAGCCAUGUGGGAAUAAUACAUGUUUUAAUUGAUACUCAUUUACAUAGGAACCAAUAACAAUGACAUGUAUGUUCCAUGCUAUACGGCCUGUAUCUCAUAAAAGUUAUCUUCUGUUGGUGAGUUUCACUCUGCUGUUUUGAGCCAUGGUUUUUUGACCAUUUUAUAUUUGCAAUUUCCUGUUUUUCUCCUUUGGAAGUUAAUUUGAUUCAGAUGGUUCAACAAACAAAAGACUCUAAAUUCAGUGAAUAUGGGGUGGGAAAUACUGGAAGUGACUUGCCUAAUCAUGAUAAGCAACUGCCUGUUACUGUAAAGAAAGCAGCUUUAAGAGAUUUGCAGAAUGAUAACUCUUGUUAGCAUCAGUUAUUCAUGUAUUACACAGAAGCUGCUGAAGCAUUGCAACUAUGGAAGGAAGGUUUUGGAUGGCGCAUGCCUUGGGAUGAUGAGCUUGGGAUCUCUGUUGAACUGAACGAGCAAGUUAUGUUCAAGUGCAACUCUAUUAUUUGUAUGGAAAAUCGUCCUUAAAAUGUUUACUUUGUUUAAAAAUUAGGUUUGUUCCGUUAUUUUGAACUGUUCAGUGUGAGAUUAUGUGUUUGAAUUAA
Carya illinoinensis is the source of this 2299-nucleotide long non-coding RNA. RefSeq lists it as uncharacterized. The transcript is spliced from 2 exons. The record is from RefSeq and is a predicted model, not a curated record. NCBI's taxonomy places the organism in Eukaryota, Viridiplantae, Streptophyta, Magnoliopsida, Fagales, Juglandaceae.